Long non-coding RNA from Zingiber officinale, 240 nucleotides. RefSeq lists it as uncharacterized. The transcript has 3 exons. Lineage: Eukaryota; Viridiplantae; Streptophyta; Magnoliopsida; Zingiberales; Zingiberaceae. The record is from RefSeq and is a predicted model, not a curated record.
AAGGGGAGGAGGAUCUGGUUCCAGGUUCACUUUUUUGUACUGAGAUACGAGUGAUGAUAUAGGAACUCGAAGAAGAAGCACUGCAACCGCCCAAUCUUCAAAACAUUCAUCGGAGGAUCAAUGAAAUACUUGCAGCCUCAGGUGUGGAACACGAGGAAUUGGUAUCACUAGCUGAACCACUUUUAUCUGAUCUUCCAAAAGUGCUACGUCCACAAGAGCCAAAAUCUGUCUGUGUUGGAG